This is a long non-coding RNA of Equus quagga, 1235 nucleotides long. RefSeq lists it as uncharacterized. The transcript is spliced from 2 exons. The record is from RefSeq and is a predicted model, not a curated record. Lineage: Eukaryota; Metazoa; Chordata; Mammalia; Perissodactyla; Equidae.
CAAAACAAGCAAGAAUUUUUAAAAAGUCACUCAGAUCAGAAGGUCCCCUUAUCUUACUGCUGGCAUAUCCGAGCUGACAGAUCGGCUUGAGGUACAUAUAAGUAUCUAGACUCCCAAGCUUGUCAAAAGAUUCUCCCUGUCCCCACAGACCUUAGCCUCCAUCAAAGCCCAUAAAUACUGAAGAGAGAAAGUGGGAGAAAGACAUUCAACUAGAUUUUCAGGUAACUCAGUGACAAAGCAAUGCUAAGGAUCCAUGACUUCCGUUUCUUGAUGCAGGAAACUUACCAAAGGAAAUGAGAACAGAGUGAAAGGGGCAGCAGGAGAUUCAAGGCGCGCGUCCAAACGAGACUUUAAAUGAGACGAUCCUUCCACGUUCUGAGCUAAGAUCAACCCACCCUGCUUAGCACACUGACUCUUUUUGCUUCCUCUAGGAAACAAACGAUGGUGCAAUUGAUUUUGAUUAUACUGUUCUACUCCAUGAAUUCUCAACGCAGGAAAUCAUUCCCUGUCGUAUUCACUUGGUCUGGUCCCCUGGCAAACCACUUACAGUGAAGUACCACUGUCAAGAGCUGCUGGCACCAGAAGACGCCUCUGGAACUGAAGAAGGAUCAGCUGUGGCACCAACAGAGCUUAGUAAUUUCUGAAAAGAAAAGAAAGAUCUGUUUAUACCAAGUUCUACACAAAAUGACCAUACCGAAUAGCCUGAAUCAUUAUUCUAGUAAAAUAGCUAAGGCAUAGGCUUUUUGAUUAUUUGGGAAAGACUGUGAUUUCAAGUAAAUACUCAAAAAUUAAAAGAUGUUGGGAUUUUUGUUUUUCAGUGGGUUUCACUUCGUUUUAGCUCUGGGUGCACGUGCAUACUCAAUUCUGUUCUUAACAGUCACCCCACAGGCUCCUCAGGGUUGCGGUCCUAAAACGUACAACCCAGUCAAUUAGUACAUGACACAACUGGAUCAGCAAGUAUUUUAACCAAACAAAAAUUGAGGGUAUUACCUCUAAAUCUGCAUUUCUCAUUAUUUUGAACAUACUGUAGCCAACUAUUUUAUGUUGCUAAAUUGCUUCUACCUAGUAUGUAAAAAGAUAUAUAUUUCAACAAAAGCAAAUUGUAGGGAAUCUAUUACCUAUAUUAUUAAGAAGAAUUGUACUAUUUUUUAUGAUUUCAAGCAAGUAUUCCUUUUUAACUUGAUAUUUACUUUUAAAUAAAUGUUUAUCUUUCUAAAUAAAAUAUUUUAAAUGUG